GUGGUCCGGUGAACGGCUUCCGGUGUGGCUGCGCCGCAGCCCCGUACCCGGAAGCCCGACCCUGACCUAGAGUAACCCCAGGCGGCCCCCGGGCGCGCGUGUGCAGUACCAGGUGUGAGCACUCUGGCAGCCGUUUGGUGAUCAUGUAUGAUACUGCGAACAGGC
Molecule: non-coding RNA, 165 nt
Organism: Dipodomys spectabilis (banner-tailed kangaroo rat)
Lineage: Eukaryota; Metazoa; Chordata; Mammalia; Rodentia; Heteromyidae
Product: small Cajal body-specific RNA 16
Exons: 1
Source: RefSeq, a predicted model, not a curated record